GCCAUCGUAGCUCAGUCGGUAGAGCGCACCCAUGGUAAGGGUGAGGUCCCCGGUUCAAUCCCGGGCGAUGGCU
RNAcentral lists this transfer RNA (73 nucleotides) under Patescibacteria group bacterium. RNAcentral describes it as "tRNA-Thr". The record is from RNAcentral.